UACAGAGGUCUCAAGCGUUGUUCGGAUUCAUUGGGCUUAAAGGGCGCGUAGGCGGGCCGCCAAGUUCGAGGUGAAAUCCUCCGGCUCAACCGGAGAACUGCCUCGAAUACUGGAGGCCUCGAGGCGGGUAGGGGCGUGCGGAACUGUGGGUGGAGCGGUGAAAUGCGUUGAUAUCCACAGGAACUCCGGUGGCGAAGGCGGCACGCUGGACCCGAUCUGACGCUGAGGCGCGAAAGCCAGGGGAGCAAACGGG
RNAcentral lists this ribosomal RNA (253 nucleotides) under uncultured bacterium. Its description in RNAcentral is "partial 16S ribosomal RNA". It matches the Rfam family "Bacterial small subunit ribosomal RNA", at positions 524 to 776 of the family's 1533-position model. The record is from RNAcentral.